Molecule: unclassified non-coding RNA, 331 nt
Filed under: soil metagenome
Description: partial contains 5.8S ribosomal RNA, internal transcribed spacer 2, and large subunit ribosomal RNA
Rfam family: 5.8S ribosomal RNA (bases 1-120)
Source: RNAcentral
GAUGAAGAACGCAGCGAAAUGCGAUAAGUAAUGUGAAUUGCAGAAUUCAGUGAAUCAUCGAAUCUUUGAACGCACAUUGCGCCCCCUGGUAUUCCGGGGGGCAUGCCUGUUCGAGCGUCAUUUCACCACUCAAGCCUCGCUUGGUAUUGGGCAACGCGGUCCGCCGCGUGCCUCAAAUCGACCGGCUGGGUCUUCUGUCCCCUAAGCGUUGUGGAAACUAUUCGCUAAAGGGUGUUCGGGAGGCUACGCCGUAAAACAACCCCAUUUCUAAGGUUGACCUCGGAUCAGGUAGGGAUACCCGCUGAACUUAAGCUUAUCAAUAAGCGGAGGA